AACAUCGCGCACCUGCGGGAACCUGCGGAAGGAUCAUUACAGAGUUGCAAAACUCCCUAAACCAUUGUGAACGUUACCUAAACUGUUGCUUCGGCGGGCGGCCCGGGUCCUUCCCGGCGCCCAUCGGCCCUCGCGGGCGCCCGCCGGAGGUAAACCAAACUAUUGCAUUGUAUGGCCUCUCUGAGUCUUCUGUACUGAAUAAGUCAAAACUUUUAGCAACGGAUCUCAGAUCGGAAGAGC
RNAcentral lists this unclassified non-coding RNA (240 nucleotides) under soil metagenome. Its description in RNAcentral is "partial contains 5.8S ribosomal RNA, internal transcribed spacer 2, and large subunit ribosomal RNA". The record is from RNAcentral.